GUGUAGCCUCCGACCACCUCGAAGCCGUGCGACCAGGAGCCCGAGUACUCGCCCUGGCCCUUGGGCCCCGUGCAGAUGCCAUGCCCGUGCGCCUUGCCCUCCUCCCAGCCGCCGCAAAAGAACACCCAGGUUAAUGCCUGAUAAAGAAAGCAUGUAUUACCCACGGGUACAACAUUACCGAGAGCUGCUUGACUCCUUGCCAAUGGAUGCCUAUACACAUGGCUGCAUUUUACAUCCUGAGUUAACUGUGGACUCCAUGAUCCCGGCUUAUGCAACUACAAGGAUUCGUAGCCAAAUUGGAAACACAGAGUCUGAGCUGAAGAAACUUGCUGAAGAAAACCCAGAUUUACAAGAAGCAUACAUUGCAAAACAGAAACGACUCAAAUCAAAGCUGCUUGAUCAUGACAAUGUCAAGUAUUUGAAGAAAAUUCUUGAUGAGUUGGAGAAGGUCUUGGAUCAGGUUGAAACUGAAUUGCAAAGAAGAAAUGAAGAAACCCCAGAAGAGGGCCAGCAACCUUGGCUCUGCGGUGAAUCCUUCACCCUGGCAGACGUCUCACUCGCUGUCACAUUGCAUCGACUGAAGUUCCUGGGGUUUGCAAGGAGAAACUGGGGAAACGGAAAGCGACCAAACUUGGAAACCUAUUACGAGCGUGUCUUGAAGAGAAAAACAUUUAACAAGGUUUUAGGACAUGUCAACAAUAUAUUAAUCUCUGCAGUGCUGCCAACAGCAUUCCGGGUGGCCAAGAAAAGGGCCCCAAAAGUUCUUGGCACGACCCUUGUGGUUGGUUUGCUUGCAGGAGUGGGAU
RNAcentral lists this small RNA (806 nucleotides) under Pan troglodytes (chimpanzee). RNAcentral's name for it is "processed transcript". Lineage: Eukaryota; Metazoa; Chordata; Mammalia; Primates; Hominidae. The record is from RNAcentral.